Molecule: RNA transcript, 4107 nt
Organism: Symphalangus syndactylus (siamang)
Lineage: Eukaryota; Metazoa; Chordata; Mammalia; Primates; Hylobatidae
Gene name: septin-7-like
Source: RefSeq, a predicted model, not a curated record
GGGGCUGCUGGGGGCUUCCAGGAGCGCGCGUGUGCGGACGGCUGGCUGCAGGCGCCCGGGCAGGCUGUAACCCGCCGCUGGACUGGCGCUUUUGUGUCUGGAGGCUUCGGCCUGGCCGCCGUCGCCUAUAAGCUACGAAGAGGAGCUUUACGACUUGGCCGGGCGCAGCAAAGGCCAGACUUUGCGUGAACAGGCGCUACGCGCCAACUGGCCGGCACCUGGCGGGCACCAUCGCACGGUGGCGCAGAAGCUCCUCAAUGGCCAGCGCCAGCUGCAGCAGCGGCCGCGCACUCGCCUAGCCUGAGCUUGGGCGAAUGUGCAUUGGGAAAGUCGACAUUAAUCAACUCAUUAUUCCUCAUAGAUUUGUAUUCUGCAGAGUAUCCAGGUCCUUCUCACAGAAUUAAAAAGACUGUACAGCUGGCAGCCUGUUAUCGAUUACAUUGAUAGUAAAUUUGAGGACUACCUAAAUGCAGAAUCAUGCACGAACAGACAUCAGAUGCCUGAUAACAGGGUGCAGUGUUGUUUAUCCUUCAUUGUUCCUUCAGGACAUGGACCAUUACAUAACUGAAGACUCCCACCUUCAGGCAGGAUUGCGUAGUACAUGUUUGUAACUACUUCACAUUGCCUUUUGUUGAGACUUACACCAUUGGAUAUUGAGUUUAUGAAGUGUUUGCAUGAAAAAGUGAAUAUCAUCCCACUUAUUGCCAAAGCAGACACACUCACACCAGAGGAAUGCCAACAGUUUAAAAAACAGUUGAACAUGGUGAACAUUGUUAUUUUACAAUUCUAAGAAAUACGUUGAUAAGUGAAAAUAUCUAUAACCAGCAUCCAGGAGGGAUACUGUCGGUGAAACCUGCUUAGCUGAGGACUGGCUGUGUGUGUGCCUCCAGACCAAUCAUAUGUUUGUUUUGAGAUACAUUUUUCGGAGGAAGGUAAUGCACACAUGCCAUGUAUUUUCUUUUUGUUUCAUACUUUUUCUUCUUUAAUUUCCUGGCAUCCAUUGGUUCUCUCCAGGCAAUCGGUGGUAUGUUAGCCACAGUGGACACUGCACAGGAGAGCAGGGGGUGGGGGAUUAGGGUGCUGCAAGCAGAAUAAUAAAUUUCAGGCCCAACCUUAUGUCUGUUGAAUCAGAACUGCUGAGUAUGGGGCUCAGGCUCCUGUGUUUGAAUAAGCCCUCAAGUGACUCUGAUGCUAAAGUUUGCAAAGCACUGCUCUAGAAGUUUCGGGAGGUCCCAGGGUCAGGCACGUGCUGAGGAGGAAGAGUUGUUCCUGGGACUCCCUGCCUAUUCUCAAUCAAAAACUCAAACUUAGGAAAGCCAGUGAGGUUUGUAUUCGCCUUACGUCAGGGGUGGGGUUGGAUUUACCAUUUCUUUGACUCCUUCAAUAUUUUAGGUAACUUUUCAGGUCACACACAACAGACUGAUUUUCCUGUGGAAGACCUCACAGGAGUUCUCUUGAACCAGGAGACUAUUUUGAGCUGAAAUACCUGGAGCCCUGUCAAGCUAUUUGGGCCUUUCAAUUUGAAAUCCAGGUUAGGACGGUUCUAAGCCCUACGGCAGAGACUGUAAUCAUUUUCUCUUCACCCUCAGGGUGAGGACUCACCCUCAGGGUUGGGAGUGACUGCUGUCUCUCAAGCCCCCAGCAAUUACACCAUGUUCUGGUUGUUAAAAUCCAGUGUAUGCAUGAAAUGUAAUAAAAGUAUCCUUGCAGCACUAAGUAGAGUGUUCCUUGUUGUGAGCAGACCAUUCCUCUUCCUCCUUGGAAAAAAAAUCUCUAUCCACUUUCUACAUUUUCACGUUUAUCUCUUCCUCUAUACACACCUCAGCUGCUGCUUUAUUUCCACAUGUCUCAUGUAAGGAUCUUUUUUUUAUAUAGUAACCUUGGCUUUUCCCACUGUUCAUGCUUCCACGAGUUGGAUGUAGGCAAUAUAGGAGCCCACUGCAAAAGUGUAGGUGAUACUGUCCAGAAAGAAACCUGAAUUUCAGAGGCUUGCUGUUGUGGAAGAAAGCCAAGAUAUUAGACUUGUAGAGCUUCACUCUGCUAGAGAGUAAAAAUGUACUCCAAUGCAUUGCCUUGAACUAUUCCCAACCUCUAUGCUGUGAGCCUCAACAUCACAUAAGGCGAUUGCGACAGCAGAAGGAAGACAAAAAAGUAACGAGGGGGAAAGAAGAACGGGAUCACAACGGGGGUCUCUUGACCCCAAACAAAAGCGUGAACAGGCGGUUUACGUUCGCUCCCUUUUUUUUUUUUUUUUUUGAGACAGAGUUUUGCUCUCGUUGCCCAGGCUAGAGUGCAGUGGCGCAAUCUCGGCUCACUGCAACUUCUGCCUUCCAUUUUUAAGCGAUUCUCCUGCCUCAGCCUGCCAAGCAGCUGGGAUUACAGGCAUCCACCACCACGCCCAGCUAAUUUUUUUGUAUUUUUAGUAGAGGCGGGGUUUCACCAUGUUGGUCAGGCUGAUCUCGAACUGCUGACCUCGUGAUCCACCCUCCUCGGCCUCCCAAAGUGCUAGGAUUACAGGCAUGAACCACGCGCCAGGCCCUCCAUUUUGUACAAUGGUUAAAGAGACGCAAAGACGAAGAAGGGAGAAAAAUGCCCGUGGGCAUCUUUUUUUCUUCUUAGUUGUUUUUGUUUUCUAGGCAAAAGAGCAGAGUGAAAGCAUCUGUCUGUUGAUUUCUCCACCAGUCUCUCCCUGUCGACCUGCACAGGGACACAAGUGCGAUCCAAUACUGAGACAAGGACUACUGUGGCUCUCUAGUCACUUGGGAUGGGAGUGGCAGGACUCUGGAUGGCCGAAGACUGUCGGGGAAUUAGAGGCCUUCAACAUGCGAGAAGCAGAAACCAAUACGGAUUAACAUUCCCUACGGAUAUUCCAUAAGACUGAUUCAUAUUCAUAUUCCUGUAUUUCCUCAGUCACUCCAAUAUUGCCUGGGAACUUCUGGUAACAGCAAACCGAGGCCCCAUAUGAAAAAAACAGGAAAAGGUUUUGUCACAAUGGAAAAUACAUGCAGAGCAAAAGGGUAAGAUAUUUCUGAAGGAAAUCAGAAAAGCCCCAAAUCAAGACUUCAUUGUUAUUACUCAUAAGAGAAGACUGAAGCUUUAACAAUUAAUCUGCUUAGAACUGCAAUGUAAACUGCACGCAGCUAUUACCUGAUUUUUAUUUCUACUACUUUUCUUCCAUCACAAGCCCUAUGCAGAAAAAAAAGUGCCUCAGCAUCAGCGGAAGGAAAUGACACAGCAGGAGGGAGAAGGAGGAAGAGAAGAACCAGCUUUACAAGAUCUCUGGAUCAUGUUUCCAUGCCAACUGUAAAAUUCUUUGCCUUGCCCUAGAUCCAAAAGAUUUUCUUUCAUGUUUUUUCCCAAAAGUUUUAUACUUUUACAUUUUAUGUUUACAUCCUUGAUCCAUUUUGAGUUCAUUUUUGUAUAAGGCAUAAUGUUGACAUUCUUUUAAUUUUUUUAUUAAAAAAAUUUUUUGUUGAUAGCUGGGUGUGGUGACAGGUGCCUGUAAUCCCAGCUACUCGGGAGGCUGAGGCAGGAGAAUCACUUGAAACUGGGAGGUGGCAGAGAUUGCAGUGAGCCAAAAUCGCGCCAUUGCACUCCAGCCUGGGCGAUAAAGCAAGACUCUGUCUCAAAAACAAAAAAACAAAAUUUUGAGACAGAGUCUUGUUCUGUAGUCCAGGCUGGAGUGCAGUGGUAGUAUCACUGCUCACUACAGUCUCAACAUCUAGGGACCCAGUGACCCUCCCACCUCAGCCUCCCUGAGUAUCUGGAACCACAGGCGCAAGCCCACUGUGACCAGCUUUUUUUUUGGUAGAGUCAGGAUCACCCUUUGUUGCUCAGGCUGAUCUGCAACUCCUGGGCUCAAGCAAUCCUCCUGCCUCAGUCUUCCAAAGUGUUGUUGCGGCUACAGGCAUGAGCCAGGGGGCCCGGACUUGCUUCCUGCCUUUCUUAUACAAUGAUACAAGCAUACAACAAUGUAAUACAAUAGUCUUGAAGUCAAGUUGACUGUUUCUUCCCCUUAUAUUUUUAUUCUUAAUGAUUAUUUUAGCUAUUCUAAUUCCUUUAACUUCCUACAUAAAUUUUAGAUUAAAAAUCUUGCUUGGAUUUUGA